GUUUAUUCAUUUUGUUUAUUCAUUUUUUUUGUUGAUGGACACCUAAGUUGGUAUCAUAACUUGGCUAUUGCCAAUUGCACUGUCAUAAACAUGGGUAUGUAUGUAUCACUAUAGUGUUCUGACUUCAGUGCUUUUGAAUAAAUACCUAGGAAUGAUAUAGCUGGGAAAAGUGCCAAUUCCAUACUUAGUAUUUUGAGAACCUCCACACUGAUUUCCACUGUGACUGUACUAAUUUACAAUCCAUUUUGUGACUUUCUAGACUUCAGUAAGAAGUUUUUAGUUUUAUUCUCUACAAAAAAUCUGGGUGUUUAGCAUUCAUAUGGUCUCACAUCCUUGAGGAAUGUGAUGAUUAUAUCAGCCUUGUUUCCCAUUGUAUGAAAAAAAAAAAAAAAACCUGUUGGAAAAAAUUGGAUUUUGAACAUAUUCAAUAUGUUGACUUCUGGUGAUCACAAUAAUGGUAAUAAAAAGUGAGAUUUUCAAAUGCCUUCUGAGUCAAUAAAGAUUUUAAUUACAUAUAUAUGCAUAUAUAUUAAUCAAAAUGAUAUGAAAAUUUAAAAUUUAGAGCUGAUAUUUAAUGUGUACAUGUCCAUGUGUAAUGCACUUGACUAUUUGUGUUAAACUGUCACAUCUUUAAUAUUUCACAUUUGUGGAUUGUCAUAAAUUUUGUGAAAUUAGAAGGGAAAGCAUUACAUCUGUUCAGUUUUAUGAAAUCUAAAAAUAAAAUACAAUGAUGGUGUAAUAUCUAAAAUCGCACAUUUAAUGAGAAGCAAAGCUCAGACUCAUAGUUGAAGUUCUUCAGAUAUUAAACCCUGCUCUUUACAAACUAUAUGAUAUUCCUUCUUUGAGAAUACUAGAAGAAAAUUUUGAACAAACAUUUUCAUUUAAGCCCUUGCCAAGUUUAUAUAGAAUCUUCUUUGAUUUAAAUACCC
RNAcentral lists this long non-coding RNA (929 nucleotides) under Marmota monax (woodchuck). The record is from RNAcentral. Lineage: Eukaryota; Metazoa; Chordata; Mammalia; Rodentia; Sciuridae.